UACGUAGGGGGCAAGCGUUAUCCGGAAUUACUGGGUGUAAAGGGAGCGUAGACGGUAAUGUAAGUCUGGAGUGAAAGGCGGGGGCCCAACCCCCGGACUGCUCUGGAAACUAUGUUACUAGAGUGCAGGAGAGGUAAGCGGAAUUCCUAGUGUAACGGUGAAAUGCGUAGAUAUUAGGAGGAACACCAGUGGCGAAGGCGGCUUACUGGACUGUAACUGACGUUGAGGCUCGAAAGCGUGGGGAGCAAACAGG
Molecule: ribosomal RNA, 253 nt
Filed under: uncultured bacterium
Lineage: Bacteria
Description: partial 16S ribosomal RNA
Rfam family: Bacterial small subunit ribosomal RNA
Source: RNAcentral